This 321-nucleotide ribosomal RNA is filed under the name Streptomyces sp. CBR53. RNAcentral's name for it is "bacterial SSU rRNA". It matches the Rfam family "Bacterial small subunit ribosomal RNA", at positions 591 to 909 of the family's 1533-position model. The record is from RNAcentral. Lineage: Bacteria; Bacillati; Actinomycetota; Actinomycetes; Kitasatosporales; Streptomycetaceae.
GAUGUGAAAGCCCGGGGCUUAACUCCGGGUCUGCAUUCGAUACGGGCAGGCUAGAGUUCGGUAGGGGAGAUCGGAAUUCCUGGUGUAGCGGUGAAAUGCGCAGAUAUCAGGAGGAACACCGGUGGCGAAGGCGGAUCUCUGGGCCGAUACUGACGCUGAGGAGCGAAAGCGUGGGGAGCGAACAGGAUUAGAUACCCUGGUAGUCCACGCCGUAAACGUUGGGAACUAGGUGUGGGCGACAUUCCACGUUGUCCGUGCCGCAGCUAACGCAUUAAGUUCCCCGCCUGGGGAGUACGGCCGCAAGGCUAAAACUCAAAGGAA